This 164-nucleotide ribosomal RNA is filed under the name uncultured bacterium. Its description in RNAcentral is "partial 16S rRNA". It matches the Rfam family "Bacterial small subunit ribosomal RNA", at positions 355 to 511 of the family's 1533-position model. The record is from RNAcentral.
UAGGGAAUCUUCCACAAUGGACGAAAGUCUGAUGGAGCAACGCCGCGUGAGUGAAGAAGGUUUUCGGAUCGUAAAGCUCUGUUGUUGGUGAAGAAGGAUAGAGGCAGUAACUGGUCUUUAUUUGACGGUAAUCAACCAGGAAGUCACGGCUAACUACGCGCCAG